This 506-nucleotide ribosomal RNA is filed under the name Fusarium proliferatum. Its description in RNAcentral is "eukaryotic LSU rRNA". The stretch from base 166 to 319 matches the Rfam family "5.8S ribosomal RNA". The record is from RNAcentral. Lineage: Eukaryota; Fungi; Ascomycota; Sordariomycetes; Hypocreales; Nectriaceae.
CAGCGGAGGGAUCAUUACCGAGUUUACAACUCCCAAACCCCUGUGAACAUACCAAUUGUUGCCUCGGCGGAUCAGCCCGCUCCCGGUAAAACGGGACGGCCCGCCAGAGGACCCCUAAACUCUGUUUCUAUAUGUAACUUCUGAGUAAAACCAUAAAUAAAUCAAAACUUUCAACAACGGAUCUCUUGGUUCUGGCAUCGAUGAAGAACGCAGCAAAAUGCGAUAAGUAAUGUGAAUUGCAGAAUUCAGUGAAUCAUCGAAUCUUUGAACGCACAUUGCGCCCGCCAGUAUUCUGGCGGGCAUGCCUGUUCGAGCGUCAUUUCAACCCUCAAGCCCCCGGGUUUGGUGUUGGGGAUCGGCGAGCCCUUGCGGCAAGCCGGCCCCGAAAUCUAGUGGCGGUCUCGCUGCAGCUUCCAUUGCGUAGUAGUAAAACCCUCGCAACUGGUACGCGGCGCGGCCAAGCCGUUAAACCCCCAACUUCUGAAUGUUGACCUCGGAUCAGGUAG